Molecule: ribosomal RNA, 440 nt
Filed under: uncultured bacterium
Lineage: Bacteria
Description: partial 16S ribosomal RNA
Rfam family: Bacterial small subunit ribosomal RNA
Source: RNAcentral
CCUACGGGAGGCAGCAGUAGGGAAUAUUGCUCAAUGGGGGAAACCCUGAAGCAGCAACGCCGCGUGGAGGAUGAAGGUUUUAGGAUUGUAAACUUCUUUUGUGAGAGAAGAUAAUGACGGUAUCUCACGAAUAAGCACUGGCUAACUCCGUGCCAGCAGCCGCGGGAAUACGGAGGGUGCAAGCGUUACUCGGAAUCACUGGGCGUAAAGAGUGCGCAGGCGGGUUUGUAAGUCCGAUGGGAAAACCUGUAGCUUAACUACAGAACUGCAUUUGAAACUGUGGGUCUAGAGUGUGGGAGAGGUAGGUGGAAUUCUUGGUGUAGGGGUAAAAUCCGUAGAUAUCAAGAAGAAUACUCAUUGCGAAGGCGACCUACUGGAAUGUUACUGACGCUCAUGCACGAAAGCGUGGGGAGCAAACAGGAUUAGAUACCCGGGUAGUC